This 158-nucleotide ribosomal RNA is filed under the name Telimena ulei. RNAcentral's name for it is "5.8S ribosomal RNA". It matches the Rfam family "5.8S ribosomal RNA". Rfam says of the family: 5.8S ribosomal RNA (5.8S rRNA) is a component of the large subunit of the eukaryotic ribosome. It is transcribed by RNA polymerase I as part of the 45S precursor that also contains 18S and 28S rRNA. The record is from RNAcentral. Lineage: Eukaryota; Fungi; Ascomycota; Sordariomycetes; Phyllachorales; Telimenaceae.
AAACUUUCAACAACGGAUCUCUUGGUUCUGGCAUCGAUGAAGAACGCAGCAAAAUGCGAUACGUAAUGUGAAUUGCAAAAUUCAGUGAAUCAUCAAAUCUUUGAACGCACACUGCGCCCGCCAGCAUUCUGGCGGGCAUGCCUGUCCGAGCGUCAUUU